AGGGCUGUUCACCUUGCCUUUUUCCGCUUUCGAAGGAUCAAUGACCGCCACUAUAGGCACGGCCACUUUCUUCGAUUGAUCUUCUGGUAACGGAUUGCAGAUCCAUCGUAUUCUGCUGAGGUCCAGUUUGGAUUUCCUGGAAAUUGAAGAAAGCUGUUUACAAGGAAAUUGUAAUUGGUAGUUACCGAGGAAGUUGCAAGAAGUUUUAUUGGCACGUGAUGUAUGCUUAAUUUAUAAAUAUCUGCUCAAGGCUCCAUCACGACUGUUUAACGAUGAUUAGCAGCAUACACAAAUUGUUCAAUAGUGAUGCGUGAAACGAGAUUCAUGUUUUCGAAGAGGAUCAACUUGACAUGCUUUUUCUUUGUGAACGGUCAUCUGAUCGAAUGGAAUGUGUUCAUUGAAUUAUUGUCCUUUACCUCGGGAUUUCAAUCAACAGUUGAAGAAAAGGAUGAAUUAUAAAAUUAUACCAUGUUGGGAUUACUAGCUGGCAUUAUGAAGACGUCUUUUUUAAC
RNAcentral lists this long non-coding RNA (512 nucleotides) under Megachile rotundata (alfalfa leafcutting bee). RNAcentral's name for it is "uncharacterized LOC105662158, transcript variant X1". The record is from RNAcentral. Lineage: Eukaryota; Metazoa; Arthropoda; Insecta; Hymenoptera; Megachilidae.